CAGCCCAAUAAAGUCAUCCACUCAUCAGUUAUUUAUUAAGCACCCACGAUGUGCCAGGUCCUCUGCCAGGAGGGUAGGAGAUUAUGACAAAUAUAGUCCCAGUCUUUCCCCUCGUGGAGACAACUGUCAAGUGGGGGAGAAACGCCAUGAGAAAGUAUUCACCGCACAGCAUCCCAGCUUUGAUAGCUCACGUACAGAGUAAACGUGCACGUGAGCACACGGUGGAGGCGCAUGGCUUGCAGGAAAGGGGCACCUGGGUUGAGACCUGAAGGCGGAACAGGCAGGCGGAGAUGGGGGAAGGACACUCCCUGUGAAGGGUAGGAGGUACGAAGGUGAGUGGAGAGAGCGCGGAGGGAGGGUUGAGUCUGAUGUUGAGAGUAGAGUCCAACUGGAGAGGUAACAAAGGACCUCGUGGGCCGCUUAAGGAACAGGAACUUUGUCCCAAGAGCAGGCUUGGGGGCUUCAAGCCGGGAGGGACGUGGGGAGGUUCUGUUUCAAAGAUAAGUCUGGCUCCAGUGUGGACAAUGGGUUGCAGUGGAUGGCGGGGGAGGAAGCGCUGAGCACUUACGGUGCCAGGAAGCCCGCUGGAAAGCUGGGACAGAGGAGAUGCGGGCUGGGGGGGUGGAGGAAGCCUGGGGCAGGGCACGGGCAGGGGGGUCGAGAGAACGGGUGAGAGCAAAUGAUGCCCCAACUUCUUCCUGUAAAGAUUUUCACCGUGCUGAAGGGUUGAAGGAACAGCUGAUGAACAAUGCGUCUCCACCUCGAUCCAGCCAUCGUGAACAUGUCCCCUCAUUUGCUUUCUCCUGACGGGUAGAUAGCAACAGGUAGAUUUCCUUUUUCUGAACCGUUUGACAGUGUGUUGCAGACACGACGACGCUUUGUCCCUGAGUCCCUCAGCUGCAUCUCCCGAAUAAGGACGUUUUCCUCCUGAACCACAAGACCAGUAUCACACUGGAAAGUCAGCAGGAACGGCAUCUGCUGUCUGGUCUGCGUUCGGAUUCCCGCGGUUAUUCCCAGGCUGUCUUUUAUGGUUGGGUUUUGUUUGUUUUGAAAGCGAGGGACCAUCAAGUUUCCAGCGUUGCAUUUGGUUUCGUCUCUCUGGUCUCCAAGAAAGAUUCUGGAGGUGGAAUGCACAGCGCUCGGAGUGAGUCAGCCCUGGCGGGGGCAGGGUCAAGAGCAGGCACCAACAACACGCCACAGCCACAGACAAGACCGACUGGUUCCGUGGUGGCUGGUUCUGUCCCACGCGCUUCCGUCGCAGUUCCUGAAAUGGAGGAAAACCCCAGAAGACCCUGCACACUGGCCCUUAUGUGGCAUUGAUGAGAACAGGGGCCCAGGCCCUCUCUUAGCUUAUCAGAAGCAAAGGGGAACGAUGCCAGCCGACUCGGACCGAUCCUGAUCCUCUUCAGGGGGGAUGGGCACGGCCCAGAGAAAAAAGACUUCCACUGGUGUCAAUAGCGCAUCUGUGCUCUCCGGGACUGACAUGCACCAACCAAGCUCCCGUCAGGCUUAUCGUUGGACCAAAACUUUAGAUAGUCGGUUGACUAUGAGAAAUAGAACUGCCAUGGAAACCGGAACACUCAGGCUGAUCAUCGCCCCCGCUCAGGGGCCACUCGGACCUCAGUUUCCUCAUCUGCAAAAUGGGAAGGAUGCGGGGACAGCCACGUGGGGAAUUAUUUUAAGAAUUAAAUGAGAAUUAGUAAAAUGGUGGUUCUCUUUCUUUCCUUUUCUCCUCGUCUUCCCACCUCCACCAUGGCAGAGACAUACGGGUGACUCUACGGCUAAAGUCACCAGGCUAAUGAAGCC
This 1806-nucleotide long non-coding RNA is filed under the name Equus caballus (horse). RNAcentral's name for it is "lncRNA (ENSECAG00000054659.1)". Lineage: Eukaryota; Metazoa; Chordata; Mammalia; Perissodactyla; Equidae. The record is from RNAcentral.